This 253-nucleotide ribosomal RNA is filed under the name uncultured bacterium. RNAcentral describes it as "partial 16S ribosomal RNA". It matches the Rfam family "Bacterial small subunit ribosomal RNA", at positions 524 to 776 of the family's 1533-position model. The record is from RNAcentral.
UACGGGAGAGGCUAGCGUUGUUCGGAAUCACUGGGCUUAAAGCGCGUGUAGGCGGCGCGGUAAGUAUCUUGUGAAAUUCCUCCUCUCAAUGGAGGGACUGCUCGGUAUACUGCCGUGCUUGAGGCAGGUAGGGGUGCCUGGAACUCUAGGUGGAGCGGUGAAAUGCGUAGAUAUCUAGAGGAACGCCCGUGGCGAAAGCGGGGCACUGGGCCUGACCUGACGCUGAGACGCGAAAGCGUGGGUAGCAAACGGG